UCCUGCCCUCACGGGUAGAUCUCCCACCCUUGUGUAUUUUUAUGAUGUUUUGUUGCUUUGGCAGGCCGCUGGGCUUCUAAAACGGCCUGGCCACCGGCUCCCUGGGCUGGUGCGCGCCUGCCAGAGGAUCUCUCAAACUCGGUUUGUUAGUGUCGUCUGAGUACUAUAACAAUCGUUAAAACUUUCAACAACGGAUCUCUUGGUUCUGGCAUCGAUGAAGAACGCAGCGAAAUGCGAUAAGUAAUGUGAAUUGCAGAAUUCAGUGAAUCAUCGAAUCUUUGAACGCACAUUGCGCCCCUUGGUAUUCCGAGGGGCAUGCCUGUUCGAGCGUCAUUUCAACCCCUCAAGCUCUGCUUGGUGUUGGGCAUUCGCCGCUUUCCCGCGGCGGGCCUUAAAAUCAGUGGCGGUGGCCGUCUCAGGCUCUAAGCGUAGUAGCAACCUCUCGCUCUGGAGACCCGGCGGUGACUUGCCAGACAACCUUUUUACUUUUUUUCAAAGGUUUGACCUCGGAUCAGGUAGGGAUACCCGCUGAACUUAAGCAUAUCAAUAAGCGGAGGAAAAGAAACCAACAGGGAUUGCCUCAGUAACGGCGAGUGAAGCGGCAACAGCUCAAAUUUGAAAUCUGGCUCCUUCGGAGUCCGAGUUGUAAUUUGUAGAAGAUGCUUCGAGUGUGGCCCCGGUCUAAGUUCCUUGGAACAGGACGUCACAGAGGGUGAGAAUCCCGUACGUGAUCGGGCGCCUACGCUCAUGUGAAGCUCUUUCGACGAGUCGAGUUGUUUGGGAAUGC
RNAcentral lists this unclassified non-coding RNA (787 nucleotides) under Scytalidium cuboideum. RNAcentral's name for it is "sequence contains ITS1, 5.8S rRNA gene and ITS2". The stretch from base 502 to 787 matches the Rfam family "Eukaryotic large subunit ribosomal RNA", at positions 1 to 283 of the family's 3401-position model. The record is from RNAcentral. Lineage: Eukaryota; Fungi; Ascomycota; Leotiomycetes.